GCACCCGUAGCUCAAUUGGAUAGAGCGACAGUCUACGGAACUGUAGGUUACACGUUCGAGCCGUGUCGGGUGCA
RNAcentral lists this transfer RNA (74 nucleotides) under Verrucomicrobiota bacterium. RNAcentral describes it as "Verrucomicrobia bacterium (rhizosphere metagenome) tRNA-Arg". It matches the Rfam family "tRNA". From Rfam's summary of the family: Transfer RNA (tRNA) molecules are approximately 80 nucleotides in length. The record is from RNAcentral. Lineage: Bacteria; Pseudomonadati; Verrucomicrobiota. RNAcentral also lists the same sequence under 2 other names.